ACUCAGUGAAAUUGAACUCGCUGUGAAGAUGCAGUGUACCCGCGGCAAGACGGAAAGACCCCGUGAACCUUUACUAUAGCUUGACACUGAACAUUGAGCCUUGAUGUGUAGGAUAGGUGGGAGGCUUGGAAGUGUGGACGCCAGUCUGCAUGGAGCCGACCUUGAAAUACCACCCUUUAAUGUUUGAUGUUCUAACGUUGACCCGUAAUCCGGGUUGCGGACAGUGUCUGGUGGGUAGUUUGACUGGGGCGGUCU
This 255-nucleotide ribosomal RNA is filed under the name Escherichia coli. RNAcentral's name for it is "partial 23S ribosomal RNA". It matches the Rfam family "Bacterial large subunit ribosomal RNA", at positions 2031 to 2285 of the family's 2925-position model. The record is from RNAcentral. Lineage: Bacteria; Pseudomonadati; Pseudomonadota; Gammaproteobacteria; Enterobacterales; Enterobacteriaceae.